Molecule: transfer RNA, 75 nt
Filed under: bacterium HR13
Lineage: Bacteria
Description: tRNA-Lys
Rfam family: tRNA
About the family: Transfer RNA (tRNA) molecules are approximately 80 nucleotides in length. Their secondary structure includes four short double-helical elements and three loops (D, anti-codon, and T loops).
Source: RNAcentral
GAGCCGGUAGCUCAGCUUGGUAGAGCAACGGACUUUUAAUCCGUGGGUCGCGGGUUCAAAUCCCGCCCGGCUCAC